AUACUUACCUGGCAGGGGAGAUACGAUGAUCACAAAGGUGGUUUUCCCAGGACGAGCCUCAUCCAUUGCACUCUGGAUGUGCUGACCCCUGAGAUUUCCCCAAAUAUGGGAAACUCGACUGCGUAAUUUGUGGUAGUGGGGGACUGCGUUCGUGCUUUCCCCUG
This is a small nuclear RNA of Delphinapterus leucas (beluga whale), 164 nucleotides long. Its record names the gene U1. It matches the Rfam family "U1 spliceosomal RNA". From Rfam's summary of the family: U1 is a small nuclear RNA (snRNA) component of the spliceosome (involved in pre-mRNA splicing). Its 5' end forms complementary base pairs with the 5' splice junction, thus defining the 5' donor site of an intron. There are significant differences in sequence and secondary structure between metazoan and yeast U1 snRNAs, the latter being much longer (568 nucleotides as compared to 164 nucleotides in human). NCBI's taxonomy places the organism in Eukaryota, Metazoa, Chordata, Mammalia, Artiodactyla, Monodontidae. The record is from Ensembl.